GACGAGGGAUCCUAGCGUUGUUCGGAAUCAUUGGGCGUAAAGCGUAUGUAGGCGGCCUUGUAAGUCAGGUGUGAAAGCCCUUGGCUUAACCAAGGAAGUGCUUUCGAAACUACCGGGCUUGAGUACGGGAGAGGGUCGCGGAAUUCCCGGUGUAGUGGUGAAAUGCGUAGAGAUCCGGAGGAACACCAGUGGCGAAGGCGACACGCUGGGCCGUACCUGACGCUAAAGCGCGACAGCAUGGGGAGCAAGCGGG
This 253-nucleotide ribosomal RNA is filed under the name uncultured bacterium. RNAcentral describes it as "partial 16S ribosomal RNA". It matches the Rfam family "Bacterial small subunit ribosomal RNA", at positions 524 to 776 of the family's 1533-position model. The record is from RNAcentral.